RNAcentral lists this ribosomal RNA (519 nucleotides) under Triticum aestivum (bread wheat). RNAcentral describes it as "partial small subunit ribosomal RNA". The record is from RNAcentral. Lineage: Eukaryota; Viridiplantae; Streptophyta; Magnoliopsida; Poales; Poaceae.
AUGGCGGAGGAAACGUCUGCCAAGCGUCAUCAUGGCGAGACGUCCGAGAAGAGCAGGCUCAAAGGGGUUGAGCUCCACGGAAAGGAGACGCUGGAGAUCGUCUGCACCAGCGAACUAGACAAGGCCGACGCGAUGAUGAACCUGCUCAGGAUGAAGGGCGGCGGCUUGUAUCCGAGCUUCAUUAGAGUUGAUGUGGAGUACACCAGCAAAGAUGAACCUCCCCAGAUGGCAGCAGUCCUGCAGUUGUGCGUUGAGGAACUCUGCUUGGUGUACCACAUCGCAGCGGCCACAAAAUCGCCCAAGCGCCUCAAACAAUUCCCGCAGGAGGAGAAAUUGUACACAUUUGCCAGUUUCAGCAUUGAAGAUGAUAAGAAGAUGCUGAAUAAGUUUGGUUUGGAGAUUAACCCCAACAACUUCAUUGACAUGCAGCACAAGUGGAAAGUUCCAAUCACAAACAAAUUCUACAACUCCUUAUCGAUGUUGCAGCCAGUGUCAUCCACCCAUUCUACAAAGGCAUGA